AGUCUGAACAGUUCUUUGAAUUUCUCACCCUAAGAUCUGGCCUGUACAUUUCAAAAGAAUUCUUGAGAGGUUCCUGGAGAGAUUCUGGGAGCCAAACACUCCAUUGGAAUCCUAGCUGUUUUAGAGAACAACUUGUAAUGGAGCCUUCAUCUCUUGAGCUGCCGGCUGACACAGUGCAGCGCAUUGCGGCUGAACUCAAAUGCCACCCAACGGAUGAGAGGGUGGCUCUCCACCUAGAUGAGGAAGACAAGCUGAGGCACUUCAGGGAGUACUUUUAUAUUCCCAAAAUACGGGAUCUGCCUCCAGUUGAUUUAUCAUUAGUGAAUAAAGAUGAAAAUGCCAUCUAUUUCUUGGGAAAUUCUCUUGGCCUUCAACCAAAAAUGGUUAAAACAUAUCUUGAAGAAGAACUAGAUAAGUGGGCCAAAAUAGCAGCCUAUGGUCAUGAAGUGGGGAAGCGUCCUUGGAUUACAGGAGAUGAGAGUAUUGUAGGCCUUAUGAAGGACAUUGUAGGAGCCAAUGAGAAAGAAAUAGCCCUAAUGAAUGCUUUGACUGUAAAUUUACAUCUUCUAAUGUUAUCAUUUUUUAAGCCUACGCCAAAACGAUAUAAAAUUCUUCUAGAAGCCAAAGCCUUCCCUUCUGAUCAUUAUGCUAUUGAGUCACAACUACAACUUCACGGACUUAACAUUGAAGAAAGUAUGCGGAUGGUAAAGCCAAGAGAGGGUGAAGAAACCUUAAGAACAGAGGAUAUCCUUGAAGUAAUUGAGAAGGAAGGAGACUCAAUUGCAGUGAUCCUGUUCAGUGGCGUGCAUUUUUACACUGGACAGCACUUUAAUAUUCCUGCCAUCACAAAAGCUGGACAAGCGAAGGGUUGUUAUGUUGGCUUUGAUCUAGCACAUGCAGUCGGAAAUGUUGAACUCUACUUACAUGACUGGGGAGUUGAUUUUGCCUGCUGGUGUUCCUACAAGUAUUUAAAUGCAGGAGCAGGAGGAAUUGCUGGUGCCUUUGUUCAUGAAAAGCAUGCCCACACGAUUAAACCUGCAUUAGUGGGAUGGUUUGGCCAUGAACUCAGCACCAGAUUUAAGAUGGAUAACAGUAAGUGUAUUUAUUUUACCUAAUAAGUCAUUUUUAUUUUAACUUUAUUUCAGUGUUCAUCUGUUUUUGUAUUAUGUGUAAUGUAUAUGCCCCAGGGAGAGUGCACUUCAAAAAUGUCACUGAGAAUUGUCACAUAAGAAAUGACAUUUCCAGAGUGUAAGACUAAGAGUUUAUAGAUUUUAGCACGAUUUUGAGUCUAUCCCUUAGUAGGGAGGUAAAAGAAAAUGAAGUCCAAGGCAAGGGUCAUGUGGCUUGGUCAGCUGCCAUCAAUAUAGAGUGCCUGAAACACUGGGCAUGGAGGACAGGAGGAAAUUUGGGGCUUGGAGUUAGAUCCAGAAAGACUAGGGUGUUAAUCACACUUUGCUGCUUAAUAGUUUUUUGAUCCUGCACAAGUUACAUCAUCUUGUGUCAUUGUUUUUUCUUUCCCACUUAUCUAAUGUGAAUAAUAAAAUCUAUUUAAAGAUUUGAUUUUAGGGUUAGUCAAGCUCAAAACAAUAAGCCAAGUAGGACAUAGCAGUACCUUAAUAAUUACUCAUUUUCACUCCUCUUUUCUCCUAUUUUCGUUUUAUGGCUUUUGCCAUGUACCAAAGAGUGUAGCAAUUCCUGUGAGCAGUUAACCCCAGCAGAUAGAAGUGAAACUCUACCAUACAGAGCUUCUUUUUCCUGCGUGACCCUAUUUCUCAAUCACAUGGGAUGCAGAAAGAUCAUAAGCGCAUUGAGAGUUCAACAUAAGCUUGAUCCUUCAGAUUGCUUUAAACCCUGAGAUACCGUUUUAAAUUUGUUUUCAUUUUUUAUUGACUUUAUUUUUUAGUUUUUGAAACAGGAGUGAUACUCUGUCUCAAAAACAAAAACGAAACUAGUAGGUCAAAUUUGGCCCACAGGCCAUAUGGCCAUAUAUAUUAGUCUGUUUUCACACUGCUAUAAAGAUACCACCUGAGACUGGGUAAUUUGAAAAGGAAAAAAUUUUAAUUGACUCAGUUUCACAUGGCUGGGGAAGCCUCAGGAAACUUACAAUCAUGUCAGAAGGCAAAGGGAAAGCAAGGCACAUAUGAGGUGAUGCGAGGGUGAGAGAGAGAGAGUGCAUAAAAACUGCUGCUUUUGGCUGGGCGCGGUGGCUCACGCCUGUAAUCCCAGCACUUUGGGAGGCCAAGGCGGGCGGAUCAUGAGGUCAGGAGACAGAGACCAUCCUGGGUAACACGGAGAAACCCCGUCUCUACUAAAAAUACAAAAAAAUUAGCCGGGCGUGGUGGCAGGCGCCUGUAGUCCCAGCUACUCAGGAGGCUGAGGCAGGAGAAUGGCAUGAACCCAUGAGGUGGCGGUUUCAGUGAGCCGAGAUUGCACCACUGCACUCCAGCCUGAGUGACAGAGUGAGACUC
RNA transcript from Pongo pygmaeus (Bornean orangutan), 2468 nucleotides. It is a transcript of the gene named kynureninase, with no coding region annotated. The record is from RefSeq and is a predicted model, not a curated record. NCBI's taxonomy places the organism in Eukaryota, Metazoa, Chordata, Mammalia, Primates, Hominidae. The transcript is spliced from 12 exons.